Molecule: long non-coding RNA, 760 nt
Filed under: Nicotiana tabacum (common tobacco)
Lineage: Eukaryota; Viridiplantae; Streptophyta; Magnoliopsida; Solanales; Solanaceae
Description: long non-coding RNA (NTAB_LNC010817)
Source: RNAcentral
AACUUUAAUUUUAGGGUUAGGUCUUAUCUCAUCGAGACUCUCUGUCUCUAAGUUUUGUGCAGAGAGACUGCUGCUCUGUUCCGCCUCUCUUCUCUGUGUUCUGACUAUUGGCGGCGACUAGAUGACGCCUCUUCCUUUAUCGACUCGAAUAAUCCUAUGAAUUCAGCUUGCCUAACCUUGCAGCAGAGAUCUUUUGGUAUAAAACGGUCUGGAAUUGUGAAAGAAGAUCUAAGUCAUGCCUGCAUUUUAUGUAUUAUGAGAUCAGUAAUUGCCUUGUAUGUUGCUAAGGUGUGUGUUGACAAAUUUUGUUCUGUUGUUGAUGCAGAAUGAAUGAAAUGAUGCGUGGUCAGAGAGGAUGGAGGGAGCUGGCUGCGUUAGCGGAUAAUUUUGCAAUAGCCUUAAUAGUAUGUAUAAUCCGAUCCGAUAUUCCGAGAUAUUUAUUCGAUCCAAAUUUUAAAAUCUGAUCCGAUGUUAAUUCGGAUUGGAUUCGGAUUGCAUUUUAUAGAAUCCGAAAUCUAAUUUUCAAUUCGAAUAUGUUAAAUCCAAUCCGAUCCAUGAGCAACCCUACUUUGAACUCAUGGACAAUACCAUUUUGGUGAUUGGUUGACUAUAUAUUAGUUAAUAAUCUGUUUCUCGUAUUUAUUGUGCUACUUUCUUCAGAUUGGGCAACUUUAUCCAACUAUUAAAUCGUCUAAACAUAGUUUUUUUACAACUGCCAGCAAUGUAAAUACACACAAUAAUAUAAUUUGUAUAUCAGCUC